This 608-nucleotide ribosomal RNA is filed under the name uncultured bacterium. Its description in RNAcentral is "bacterial SSU rRNA". It matches the Rfam family "Bacterial small subunit ribosomal RNA", at positions 888 to 1498 of the family's 1533-position model. The record is from RNAcentral.
GCAAGAUUAGAACUCAAAGGAAUAGACGGGGACCCGCACAAGCGGUGGAGCAUGUGGUUUAAUUCGACGAUACGCGAAGAACCUUACCUGGCCUUGACAUAGACAGAAUUUUCCAGAGACGAAAAAGUGCUAGUUUACUAGAACUGUCAUACAGGUGCUGCACGGCUGUCGUCAGCUCGUGUCGUGAGAUGUUGGGUUAAGUCCCGCAACGAGCGCAACCCUCGUGUUUAGUUACUAACAGUUCGGCUGAGGACUCUAGACAGACUGCCUGGGUAACCAGGAGGAAGGUGAGGACGACGUCAAGUCAUCAUGGCCCUUACGGCCAGGGCUACACACGUGCUACAAUGGGGUAUACAAAGAGCUGCAAUACGGUGACGUGGAGCAAAUCUCAUAAAAUAUCUCCCAGUUCGGAUUGAAGUCUGCAACUCGACUUCAUGAAGUUGGAAUCGCUAGUAAUCGUAGAUCAGCAAUGCUACGGUGAAUACGUUCCCGGGUCUUGUACUCACCGCCCGUCACACCAUGGGAAUUGAAUUCAUUCGAAGCGGGGAUGCUAAAAUAGCUACCUUCCACAGUGGAUUUAGUAACUAGGGUGAAGUCGUAACAAGGUA